ACGGCCAGCGGAGCCGGGAAUGGGAAAUGCAGGAAGGCGCUCUUUGGCAGGAGCAGAAGAGGAGGCAUUUCAAAGAUCCUGCAGGUGACCGAGGUGGUGAUCUGCUGCUAGAAUAAAUAAAUUUCAGGAAGUGCCAAGGCUGCUCAGCCAUUUACUGUGAUAUCACUCCUACAUAAGGAACUUACCAACUUUCUCCAAUUAUCUCCUCUAUUACGCCUUGAGAAGAACUCCUAAUGAAGCAUCUUGAAUGGACCUUAAUGCUGCACUCCAGCAAUUCUUCCUGGCAGAUCUUCUGCUUCUCCAAAGGAGCAGCUCUCUCUUAGAAUCAUAGAACUGUUGAGGUUGGAAAAGACCAUUAAGAUCAUCUAGUCCAACCAUCAACCUUCCUGGAUUGAUCUGCUGCUGUUCUUUGUGUGCCACAGUGGAGGAUCUGUCUUUACCUUCCAGCACCUGUUGGGUAGCCUUCUCAUCUUCAGACUGAGACAUGCUUGGCUGUAGGACUCAAAGGAUAGAGUGGCUCUCUGAGGGAGGCCUGAUGUCAUCUCAGUGCGGCAGCUAAAAAGAAGCCAAGUCCACCUUUGCUUACUUCCUUGGGAAUCCAUGCAGAAGGGAUACCACAUCUCCCCAAGGGGCACGGAUAGGAGAUGGCCAUCCUCCAGGCAAGCCUGCAAGAUGUUGCAUGAAGGCCACAUGUGCUCUUCCUCCUCCACUUCUUCUUUGUGGAAUUCCUCCACCUCUUUAAUUCUGAGAAUGUAUUAUCUCAUUUCCCAUGUAGAGAUGGACAACAGUCGUUCCAGGUCCUCUUUCUUCCAACUAUGGCUGGCAAUUGUCAGAGGCCUGGAAGCUUUGCAAAUGGUAGUCUGGACACAGGGGGUUUUUAUAGGCCCAGACCAAAGAGUGGAGCAGUGUUGGUCACUGUGACAUUAGGAAGCCACUGUGAUGGCCACUGUGAUGGUCAGAAUGGUGUUGGGUGGCCUGACAGAUGCCCUUUGUGUGAGGAGGAAGAUGGUUGGAGGGGCUGAGGGCCCUCUUCCCAGCAUGGCUCCUCCGUGCCAUUUGGCUUGCCAGAGAAAGAGGCUGCCCACCCUGCACAGGGACAGCCCUCCACCUCUCCUCCUGUGCUCUGUCCUUCAUCCCCACAUUUGGAGUCUGUGUGCCACAAGAUGGUAGCAACAGUGUUUCUGGAGUGUAAGAGAUUUGCCCUUACCCUUCUGCCACUGACCUGGCUCCCUGCAAGUGGUGCAGCUACAUACCACACCUCUAGGCCCAGAGAACCCUAGCGGCCCUUCAGUUGACUGCCAUGUCCAUGUCCAGGCUGUGAAGAUGAAGUUAAUCUUUGGAUUAAACAAAACCUGCACUGAUUCCAGGAUCUUUCUCUAUAAGCCACCUUAGCAUGGACUAGAGUUGUACCUUCCCUCCUCUCUGAAAGAUAUAGACAGUUCUGAGUGCUUGCAUAGGAAGUGUCCACACAUUCUUCAGAAAGGGAAACCAUCUAGUCCCAUUUCUAGCAAGGAUUAAAUCACAACAUCUCAUGAAAUCACAAAAGAUAUCCAAGAGGAAAUAUGUCUUCUGUCUUUCCUGCUUUUGUACUCUUUUGCAAAAUCAAAGCUCUCUGUGAAAGACAGGCUACCAGGAACCUCAAGGGGCACCUCCAGAGAAAACACAAUCCUCACUUUCUAAUGCUUUCUAUUUUUUGGUAAAGUUUGUGAUGUGUGAUUUUUCCCUAAAGCCUGAGUUCUCUGAGUCAUACAGUUCGCUGAGAAUUGUUUUCUCAAAUGUUAAUUUCUAGAAAAAAAAAGCCCAAAGACAUGACUAGAAUUCUAAUUUUAUAAUGAGAAGCAAAAAGAAAAAGGGUCGAAGGUAUUGUUUUUAAGCAGUCUCUAGGUAUUUAAGCUAAGUUUGAGAGUUUCUGAGGUCUAGAAUGUGAUUUUUGAAGAGUAGCAAUGACAACAGUGCAUUACAAUUAUGCAGCACAGCAUAAUGAUACUUCCUACAACCACCACUUUCCUUUCUGCUUUUCAUUCCCUUCCUCAAGUCAUUCCAGCCUGCAUCUGUCUGGCCUCUCUCAUGUUUUUCUCUCUUCUCACCCUUCUUCCAGCUCCUGUGAGCUCCCAGCCAGCAUCAACAUCUGCACGGCUUUCAUCCCUUCGUCCCCUUGUCAUGUCCCCUCCAUUGGCAUGUCACUUUCUCAUCCCAUUCUCCUGGUGGAGACGUCUUCUACUUGAUUGCUGCUUAAUGAGAAAGAUGAAGUAAUGCAACUGGAGAUGACAGCCACAGCCAGGUGGUUCUACCAGACCAAGAGCCAACUUGCAGCUACCAUGGCUGAAGUCAAUGGAAAAAGCUGAACUCCCCUGGAAGGCAAUUCAAAGCAGAAAACAAGCUUCAUGCUCUCUCUUUUCCACCCAAGGCAGGUUAGGACAAAGCCAAAGUGCCUCUUUCUGGAUAAUCCCCUCCUUGCUUUUCUUAACAUAUUUCUUUGUUGGAUUAAAUGUGGCUCAGCGUGGGAGUUGACCUGGACAACUGCUGACAAAUGAGUAUAAAAAGCUACACCUGAGUGGAACAAUUGCAGGGAAUGCUGUUGUACAGCUCUACAGGCUCGUUUGGCUCAGAGUGAAGGAGGACUGGCAGCAAAGAGUGACAGCUUUAUUUGUACACCAGUUUCAGGUGUAAACAACAACUGCUUUAUGCAAAACCUUCUGUCCAUAAAGCUCUUAUUCUGCUUAGGGAACUGCUGAGAAAUUACCAAACCCUUGUCAGGUGCAGAUGUUGUUUAUUUCUCUAAAGAUAUAUAUAUGUAUUUGCUUUUGAUGACUUACUUUUGCUACCAGCAGCUAUAACCAACAUCUGCUUGAAAUAACUCUUACGGCCUGCUUUUCUCCUCUGUGCUGUGUUGCCAUUCCUAUUGAAAUUCCAUGUAACCAUGGGCAGUGUCAGCUUGUGGCACUGGGUAGCUGUGAGCUGAGCAUGAAAAUGUGCACAAGCAAGCAACAGGCACACAUACUAUCAGGUACAACUAUAAAGCAGAAGGAGCUCUGUAUGCUGCCAGUGCAGGAGAGCACUGCUGGCACUCAGGCUGAAUGCUGAGAUGUCACCGAGGCAAGAUGCUGGCCUUCCUCCAGGAUUCCAGGAGUUUCUAGGGCUGGUGAGACCAGGAGGCUUGAUUCCCCAUGGGAAAUUUACCCCUUGUAGUAUGCUAAAUCUCCUCUACCACUGCCUCCCAAACCUCUCCUGUGCAGCUUUUGUGAAUCUCUCUAAGCCCAAAGCAAUAGCUGUAGCAGUGGACGUAUGGCACCGCAGGACUUAAUUAAUACAGAAGAGGAGUUUGUAUUUCUUUCUUGCAUGCAAAAAGGGUCACUGAAAACUAGUAAGGCCUUCUUUGCUCAACCUGAACCUAAAUCAACCAUUUAAAGUACUUGUGACCCUCUCAAAAAUGCAGCUUGCCUCCUGGGCCAUUUCCAUGAGCAUCUCACAGAGAUCUUCAUUUCCAGUGAGCAGCACUUGGCUCCUGAAACACAGAUGCAGAGCUGUUUGCAGAUCUACCUUGGAGCAAAAUGCAAGAAGCCUAGGAAAAAGGCCCUCAAGCUCUGCAGAAGUGUUCCCAAGCUUACAGGCAUUUCCAAGGGACACUGAUCCACAUCAUGCAUCUGAACACAUCCCAGGUCCAAGAGGACCACAACAGUUAAGCUAUGCUAAGUACCAAUGUGGGUGAGGAGUGAGUGCCCCAUUCUCUUCUGUCACUUCUGCGAAGGUGGAGGUGAUCUCUGGAAGGGAAAAUAGUACUGUACAUCACCAUGCCCUUAAGACAAGGGAGCAGCAGACAAAGCCCUAUGUGUCUCUGAGAUUGAAGUUUAAAGCACUUUACAACCUUUGGGAAACAAAUUUCAGGAUGCUGCCGGCAAAUUUUAUAGGUAGGCUUUCAAUUUUCAUUCUGUUAAUGAGAGAAUACAGGUAAAAGGGGUGUGAUUAUUCCCUCUGUUGUAAAAUAUACCAUCAAACACAUAACAUGUCCCCAAACCAGAAUGACAGGGUCUUGUGUGGACCCUUGGAGACAUCAGCAUUACCUUCUGCUUCCUGUGGCACAAAUACAGAGCUCAGCGGGAUCAAACUUUCCACUGUCCUAACAAAAAGUUAAUGCUGAAAAUGUGCCUUUUUAAAACGUUUGUAAUUGGCAGCUCCUGCCAAGUAUUAGGAGGCCAGUAAAAUCUCUCUACAUAAAUUGUGUUGUAAUUAACAUGAUUUGUUUAAUGUCACCUUGUCUGGCUGUCGGAGAAACUGUCUCAAAAUGUAAAAACACCGCAUUUUUCAGUUGAGAGAGUGGAUUCUGGCUGCACCGAGACAUUUUUAUUUCUCUCUUCUAUUUUACAGUGGCCUUUACAAAUCUCUCAGGCUGGUGAACCCAAGCAAAGUUAAUCAAGAAUUCUCUGAUGACAAAAAUCACAGCCAUAAGACACAGUAACAACAAGCAUUGCAUUUUUUCUUAAUAAAGAUCCAGGCUUGUCUGCCUCCCUCAUCCACAUACUCAUUAAAAUCAUCAGAACUAAGGGUGUGAGAAGGAUGGGGCCUCAAGUGUCCAACAGUGAAAAGAUGGUGGUGCAUGUCUCAAAAGCAAGACAGGUCAGAUUUCAGACGAAGUAGGGAAAACUGCUGAAGCAACACAGGCAUCCAACACCAGUCCCACCAAGGCAGGUGUGAAACUAUCUCAUCGCUGAGAUUCCUCUCUCUCAUUGCUGAGGAUGCAGCUUCAACCGCAACACAUCCCAUCUUUGAUUAUCGAGGUAAGGCUGGGACAUCAGUGUGAGAACUGGCCAAUUUUUAUUUACUCUCCACAAAUAGCUACUUUGUUAUUCUUGCCAUUCUAGCUUUUAUUUUAGUUUUUUUCUUUUUCUUUUUUUUUCUUUUCUUUUUUUUUUCCUUUUUUCCCCAUGAAAGCCAUCAUAUUCCCUGGAGGCAUUCAAGGCCAGGCUGGAUGUGGCUCUGGACAGCCUGGUCUAGUGGUUGGUGACCCUGCCCACAGCAAGGGUUUGAAACUAGAUAAUCUUUGAUGUCCUUUUCAACCCAGGCCAUUCUAUGAUUCUGUGACAUUCAAGUAUCUAUGGCAAAACUACUUAGGGUAGUGUUUUCAGACUCUACAGGUCUCUGAGUUGGAGUGAGUAGUUUUUUGAAAGAUAAUGCUGAAGAAAGGGAUGACAUAUACUUGCUGUUGCUUAGAAAACCAGCCCAUCACCCAGUGCUGUUACUCAGCAAAGCCACUUUGAGUUACAAGAUGGAAUAAAAGUUACUUUAAAAGAACAAAUGAAAUCAAAUUGUGCUUCAAGGCAUUAACAGGCUUUGUAAAAGGUUGCAAUAGGAAUAAUAUCCCCUUCUGACACAUUACUUUAUAAUUACAGAUUAUGGAGCUGCUUGUAUCUUUCUAUGACGGAUCUAGUGCUGACACCCUUAAAUACAGGAUACAAUGAGCCUUGUAAAAGAAAUGUGGAAGAGCAAAUGUGAAUCCCUAGGCUGCUCAGUGUCCCCUUUGAUACAGUACAAAAACAGUGUAAGUAGCCUAAUGUUUUAAUGAACAGAAAUAUAUUCCUGGCAAAGAAGUGAAUUUAGCACUUAGUGAAAUGUUCUCUACUGAACUGGUGACAUUAGCUUCAUAGUCAAGCUUUUAUUGCUGAAAAGAAAUUGCGGUCACACUCUUCAUAUUGAAAAUUUAGUUUAAUAAACUAAAAUUCAGUGAUUGUAAUUUAUCUCUAGAUUUCCUGCACCAGUACUUGUUAAAAGAGAUAGGAAAAAUGCAGACCUUGAGAUAGCCUUUCUCACACCAAAGACCAAUGUCUUCAUGGGCUAAUACGCAACAGGGAUGUUCUCAAAGCAACUUUUCAUUUGUAACGCAAUACAGAAGAUGUGCAAUUGUCAGUGUUGCGGAACUCCAUCAUCUGAAACAGUGCACACUUCAGAGUGAAGGGGUGAUUCUUUUACAACAUUAGCAAUAUCUGUCAACAGGCCAGGACUGAAAGAAGUCAGCCUCCUGUGACUAAUAGCAUAAGCAGUCCCUUCCCUUAAACAGUUUCGUUUUAUCCCCCAAGGGUCUUGUAGUAACUUAUACCUGAAGAAAGAGCCUUUUUAUCUUCCUCAAUCUAAUUAAAAUACAACAUCAGGCAGAUGAGCAAUACAAUAUUGCUAGUGUCCAUUUGUUAACUUGUCAGUCUCAGAAGGAUUUCCAGUUCUAGUUGUGAUUGAAGAGGCACCAGAUUACUCAGCUGUAGAAACCACAGAUGAAAAAAAUCCCCGACUCUUGCAACCACAAAACUCAUGAGGAUUUUACAAUCCGUGGGGUAAGAUUAACUAACAGAAUAAUAUAAAUGGAGUGAAAACGUGCUCCAUUCACACGUCAUUUAAAAGCCAAAUAACUUUGCGUUAUGGUGAGUUUUGCAUUUUUGUAGCAGUAUGAAACUUUUUUUUCUUUUAUGCGCUGAGGGGUAGGUGGUCAAAUUUAGCAGAGGAAGUAAUGGCUGGAAGUAUACAGCGGAGAUAGACAAGGUGCAUUUUUUAAUGUCUAUACACUGUAAUUGCAUGUGACUCAUUCCCUACAGUUCCCACCAAUGCUCCUCUCCAGCCAGAGGCACUGGUAGGGCAGGUGCUGUCAGAGAGAGAUUGUUGUGACGACUAAAUGUCAUUAGAUGUGGGCAGAGACUGGAUGGAGGUCAUCCGACCUCUUGCACUUGUAAAGUUUGGAACAGUAUAAGUAUUUGCAGACUGAAGCCCAUGGCAUUGAAUUUACAGGAUUACGUAGGUCAUUUUUCUAUUGAUAUUUUAUGUCCUGUACACAGUUACAUCUUCUGUCUAGGCUUUUAAUUUGUAAGCUCUGUAACUGGCAUGCAUGAGGGUUUUAUUGCCAAGAAUUUCAGGGUUUGCUGUCAUUUUGCAUAUGGACAUAAGGUAAUGCCUUCUUCCUUUUUAUUUUAUUAUUUUACUCAUUAAAGGCUAAGCACAAAUUCGUGCAUUUAAAAGCGGCGCUCUGAAAUUGCAUGGCUAUAUAAUCGCAAUUUAUCAGACCAAAAAUUAAAUCUAAAAUUAGACAUAAAAAUCACAACAUUACCAGUCCUGGAUUUAAGGCUUAUAUUGCUCCAAAUUUCAAGGAAAAUAUUUAAGAAUCGAUUUAAAUGCUAAUGAACUGGUUUGCCAUAAAACUAGCGAGUAGUUACACUCAAUCAGAGUAAAAGAGAAACAGUAUUAGUUUUUCCUUUGUCGGCCUUCACUUGUGACAUUAUGUACAUAAAUUCACAAAUGUUCUUGUGUCUCCCAGACCUACAUACCACAGUAUAGUAAAAAGACACUUUCCUGAAACCAAGAUGUAGUGAGCAGGAACAGAAAGCUUUCCUCCUUGCGCAUUCGCUGGGUCAAAACCAGGCAACCAUAAGCAUGUGCAUGAACUGCAAAACGUGUACAAGAGGGAAGAUCCAUGAAUGACAAGUUGAAGGAGAGUGACAAGACUUAUCCUGUGGAGCUGUUGACGGAGGAAAGCUUCUCAUGCUGUGCCUCCACAGAGCAAAGUGCACUCACUAUCUGCUGAAAUUUCACCUGGACUUUUGGCCAGAAGAGGAAACAUGAUUUUGAGAUGCAGCCCCGUGUGAAAGGUGGCAGAGGAGGAGAAUUCCAACCCUUGUUAACCUAGUAGGAAUGUAGUCUGUAAAUCAGAGAAGAUAGGAUAGACAGGGAGACCUCUGCUCCGCUUCUGUAGGCAGUGGGAAUGGUGGGACCCCAUAGCCACCAUCUCACAGCAUCUCAGUGAGUGCAACAGCCUCAAGUGGGGCUGAGGAGCAGGGACAUCUGCCUGCACCUCUUCCAAACAACCAGAGGCUCGUUUUCAUCAAGCUGAUUGUUAGCAGGUUCAGCAUUUAAAUAUUAAAAGAGAGCCUCAGAAUUAAAUAGGCAGAACCCUCUAGUCCUUAUUCAUUAAGAAAAUGUCUGGGGGCUUCUUCCCCCCUCCCCUGAAGAAGGUUUAAAAAGACAAGUUAUCCUUACGAAGUCUUAUAAACGCCCACGAGACAAUUUUGCUUUGAAGUAUCAAUGUGACAGGGCAAAAGCAGAACAAUUUGAUACUAAUGAUUUCAGUCACCAUCCUAAUGCUUCAUGUUUUAAAGAUCAUUUUGCAAUAAAGACAUCAUGAUUUUACAGUCAUUUUAGAAUAAUAAACCAUAGCACUUAUGGAUUACUUUAAAACAGAAAAUAAAUUGGAGCAAUAAAUGUUUUUCUCAUUUUAGAGUUGGAGAAACUGGGUCUCAAGGAGGUGACCUUGUCAUAGUGCAGUCGAGGACAUCUUCUCCUCACCCCUCAUUCUGGGGCUGCCUUUUGGGUGGUACUGUCCCUUACCUGCUUCUGCAGACAAGAUGACCGAUGACAACCCUCUGCAGAAGACAACAGAUGCAGACUGAUGUUCUAGCUCCCUUCCUUGUGACGUCAGGCACUUCACUGAGGCAUCUAAAAUAGGAGUGCCGAAACUCCCAUUAGGGGGAAAAAAAAUAAAAGUGGAGAGAAGUGACGAUCUUCUCACAGUAGAUGAGAUGAACACAAUUCACUAGACUUGCUGAUGUUUUCUGGAGGCAGGAGGUGGCCAUUAAUCCACUCUUCCCCAUCAUUUUUGCUGGCGCAUUCUCUGCCCCAUGGCCUGUAGGAGAGGGGCAGCUCCCCAAUCUAGGUAGCUGCUGCCCACCCCGCUCCACCAGGGGACUCUGUGGCUCGAAUGGGCACCAGCAGGCAGGCGCUGCACAGAGAUGUGGGUGCUGCAAAGCAUCCUUUGAGCUCAGGGAGCACGAGGAUGGGAGGCCAACCAAUAAGUCAUAUCGCUAGUGACGGUUCACCAGCCUCCAAUCCAGCUUGAUUCAUUAUUCACCAUGAAAUUCUCUUCCCUCACUUGCUAAGCAAGGGUAUGUGUUUCCCUCCAAGAAACUCCACAAACAUCUCUGCUAACACACAGCUCUCAGAUGAUGACAGAAAAGUAACAGAUGGUUCUAUACAGGAUCCCCAAGUGUUCAUCAGUAUUUACGGACAUCAGACAAUGACUUAUCUUAGACCAUCUACAUUUAAACCACAGCAAUGCAAAUGAAGCUUCCUUUGCAUAGUAAGUAGUUGGGAUGGGAUAUUACUACAUACAUUUGCAUCUUCACUAGUAAAGGACGUUCCUCCUCCAGGAAUAUUUCCUUCUUGUACUGUUCUGGUGUGUUACUGUUACUAGGAAGUCAGUCAGGAAAGGUAAUACAAAAGACAGAGUGGGUUUCCCAGCUCAGAAACAAGUGUACAUCACUUAAAAUAUUGGCAGAGGAUAGAGGAGAGGAAAAACUCUUUGUGGCAGCCACUCACUAUCAAAGCCUCAGCUGCUCUGCCUCAUAGCAGUUACCAGAGAAGUGCAAGUGCUCAACUGGUUUGAAAAACGGAUCCAGACAAAACGUUUAAGGACUCACGUGAGUCUUUAAUUAAAAUCCAUUCAAAAUGAGCAUUUCACUCUACCCUUCUUCUCCAAAACACAAUCCCACACAGUGCAUGUUGGAGGUAGGCUAGGGUGGUGGAAACAGCAAUGAAAGGAAGAAGGAAAUCCCCCAAACCGAAGCAGCCACCAAGUUGUCAACUCUCAUCAUGAGACUUAAAAGAAGAGAAAAUCCAUACCGACAGGGAUGAGAUCCUUGAGAUGAAGUUUGGUGGCAGUGUGUGCACUGAGGAGGCAGAGUGCCCAGCCGCUGCUCUCGCCUGUGACAGCUGCAUUUGCUGACAAUAGCAGCCUGGCUCUGGGACACCUGUCAAAGGGCACCCAGAGCUUCAGAUGGCACAUCAGAGAGCAGGAAGAUAUUAUGGAUGGGGGAUUACUUCUGCUGGCGCUGCUCAUCAGUGUUUGAAGGCUGUCAACAUCCCAAACUCUGAUACUUUCUCCCUUGGCAAUUUUAUUUUAUUUUUUAAUUACAGCAGUCUUUAUUCUAGGCAGAAUUCGUGGAAUUGGCUGGAAAGAUAGAGAUCAUCAUUUCAUCAGGAUCCUUGGAUCUGAAUCUUUGUCUUUAUUUGUCCUCAUGAGACUGAGGAAUGCAUUUGGGAGUCAAGAUUGCCCUCCUGGAUAAGGAGAAGUCCCACGAGUGCAGAGAUAAUUUCACUACUUCUUGGAUGUGUGAGCUGUGGGAAGACAGCCCCCCUCUUUUUCAUUACUUACUUACGUUGCUGUGUAUGGAAAGUUAUUUCUGUAUGAUGAAAGCAUUUGCCAGGAGUAGACAGGUUGUUUUGAAUGGCAUUGCUUUUGAAUUCUGUUUAUAAUUAGACUGCUUCCCUGUGCGCUUUUCCCUUUUUCCUUUAUUUAUUUAUUUUCUUUUUUUUUAUUAUUGUUAGAGUCUGUAUCUAGUACAUUGCUUUCCUUUGCAUGAAAGACUUAAUAGUCCAUCGCCUAAUUUCCAUGUUAAUUAGACAUGUGACUCCUCUCAAUAACUGCCACAUCCUCACUCGCUUAAUACGUACUUCUGUACCCUCAGCAAUGAUCUGAUAAAGAACAUUAUCAGUGCAAAAUACAUAGAACAAGAAACCAUGGGGAUUAGAUAUUAAGGAGGACACUGUGGGGACUGUGUUAAUUGAGACGAUCAGCAAGAUUAAGAUAAGUCUUGCUGCUUUCUCAUAUUGGUCCUAAUGACACAAUGCAGAGCCCAAAGCACUUUACCUGCUGUACAAUGUAUUUAAGUCGCUUUCUUCCCCAGGGUUUGUAAUCUAAUCUUCUAGAUAAAACACUUAGCUGAGUGAAAACAGCUGGUGUUAAAAGCUGUAUUUUUAAGAUACAGCACCUGCAUAAGGUUUUAAAAACUGCUAAAAAUGGUGAAGGCUAAUAGAAGUUCUAAUGUGCUCUAUGUGUGCACACAUCCAGAAGGACAGACAGAAGUCUGUGUGUGAGUGCACAGCAUGGCCUGAGCUGGUACUGGUGCUGUUCCACCUUCAAGAGGGAGCUUUGCCUGGGUGUCUCCAGAGGCCUAUUCUAUACAAUAUUUCCCUGAUACAAAUUCAUAGGAGUGGGGGUGCUAACAUUAUCAUUUUAAAAGAUUGUUCCUCCUUUAAGAACAUUGGCUUUUUCCUCAAAAUGGUUGCUGCCUGCAAUUAAAAUGAAGAUUUCUCACAGCAAAUGAUUUUGCAUAAAUAGAUUUUGAAUAAUGGAGUUGUUGUCAAGAAAAAGAAAUAGGCGCUACCCAGAUCUUUUUCAAAUCAAUUCUUGAUGGAGUUCUUCAAAGGGGGAUAAAUAUUGCUGGUAUAAUGAUUUGCCACAUGACCUUGCACUUGAAGUGCUAAGCAAGGUGAAAAACAACAUAUCCAAACAUGAAAAAUUGCUGAUUUCAAUUCCUAAAAUAAUAUUUUUCUAGCUAGAACUAUUUCUGUUAUGGGCUGGCAUGCACAUACAGAGAGAAAGUUAAGAUUUUCCUUCAGCAAUAUGUGAUAUCUCCCACUCAACUAGAUAACUGAGAUGCUAUUUUCCUUCACGAAAAGCACUUUUGCAUGUCUGCAGGCAAUACAGCUCAAAAGCAAUUUGAGAGGAAAGGUAGGUUUUGCAGUUGUGGCAAAGGACUGAGCGUUCACUGUGGUUCUGAUUGUCCUGCCCUCUGAGCCAGCCUCUGCCCCCUAGAUUCCCGUGGGGUGAGGUGGACGGGGGGUUCCCUUGUCUAGAGACCUCUGACCUCAGAGUGCACUAGAACCAAGAACCACAGUGACACAGGCUGCCAAGGGUCCUUGUUUUCCAUGCAACCAACAUGACAGCAAGAUACAGAUCAACAUGGCAGCAAGCAGGAGGAGUUGAAAAUAUUCACUGAAGAAGAAAUCUGACGUAAAUGGACUACUGAAUCCAAACUGGUGUUCCUCAGAUACUUUGCUGCCCCAGCCCAGGUGCAGACCAGUAUCUUCCUUACACAGUGGGCUGUACAGCAAGGAAAACUGCUGGUACAGAAAGCACAGGCUGCUUGGGGACAGUCGUCAUUGCCUGACAAGAAAUGUGACUCAAAACACCAUACACACUUGGUAGUUAAAAGCAUUGAUCUUCCAAACUGGAGAACGUUACAAAGACAGGAGAAGCAUAAUGACAGAAGCAAACAUAGAAAUGUAAAUGAGGGGGAAAAAAAAUAUGAGGAAGGAGUGCAUAUUAAGCAGCCAAAAAGACAUUACUUCGCCGUGAAGGAGUUGAAUGAUAUUGGUGAAAAGCCUAUUCUCUUUCAGUGGAAGAAUGAAGGCAGGAAUAACAAAUUAAAAAGUAAUAUGCAACAUAUGGGAAAAAGAAAGAGGUAAUAAAGAUCCAUAUAAAUAAGAGCUUAUGAAGUGUAGAAAAUUGAUAAAGGAUACUAAAGACAUCAGAAUAAAAUCCAGGGCUGAUCUGGCUAUGUUUUGGAAGAAGUGUUUCUCGAAAGCUUAUUAGUAAUAGCAGAAAAAACUAUCAGUGCCAUAGACUCAUUACUAACUGGAGACAGCAAGCCAUUAAUAACAAUGAAGAAAGAGGCAAAAUAGUUCAACAAUUAUUUCUGUACUCUGUUAGAAUUAUGUAUUUUUGGACAUAUUAAUAAUUAAGAAAGACAAUGAACAACCUGUACCAAGGUUACACAUUUUUGAAAUCACAAGGUCCAAAAAAGCGACCCCCAGGAGUCAUGGAAGAGUUGGUAUAGGAUAUUUUUAGCUUCCUUAUGUAUAUUUUUAAUAGAUAACAAAAUAGUGUGGAAAUCUGCAAAGGUCAAUAUUGUGUAAAAAUUCCAAGGCAAAUGAAACCACUCAGGUAAAUACAGUCCUACUUGGUACCAAUCUCAGGCAAAGUAAUGGAGAAAUUGGUGGAAGAUCUAAUUAAUAAAACGUUUAAAUAUAAGAUUGUAAUUAAUGCAAUAUUACUGACAAGGAGAUUGCAAUUUCAGACUGGGACACAUAGUUGAUAGAGAGUAUCCAGGAGCAAUCUGUUCAAAACUGGGGGGACAGAAGGAGGGACUUCUGAAUUCAGUGAUGAGGUAAGGAUGCUGUAAGGGCUGCAACCCAAGCAGAGAGGCAAGGCAGCAUCCCAUGGGAAAAGCAGCAGAUGACUGUUCCAUGGGCAACUGCACUGUCAUAUGCAUGCAGUUCGUGUGAAAGGCGAGCUUCUGACUUUUGACUUGCAGUUCUUUAAUAUAGAAAAAUCAUUCAGGUAAAUAAAUUAUGUGAUUAAGAAGCAGCCUGCAAAGAUAUAAAUGAAGCAGCAGCAGGAAACAAGGCAGGAUAGGCUGUUCCUGGAAGCGAGGGGAGCAGUGAGGCUGUGGGAUGUUCAGUUGGCAAAGAAAUAGAGGAUAAAGAGAAGAGAGGGAAAGGGGCAAGCAAUACAGGUUUUAGAGGCUACAUAAAAUGUCCUUAACCAGCUUUCAUGAAAAGCUGAGUGCAUGACUGAACUCCGCUCCUAAAGGAGUGCUCCAGCAGAUUAACAGGAAUACAAUGAAGGGUCAUUUUUUCUCUUGGAGCUAUUGAAUUCCUUCCUUUCAUUGAAUCAGUACAUUGCAGAUUUUGCUUAUCAAAAGUCCUUUAGUGCUGUUUGAUGAUGAGCCAUAUUCUGCCUUGACUGCCAUCCCAGGCAUCCCCACCAAGUUCAAUGACGUCUUGUGGAGAAUAAAGUGAGGCAGACGUUAGCUUGAUGUCUUUAACAGUGUUGCGGCUGCUAAUGAAGCACAAUCUGAUUUGGUACAUGUUUGGAGACUGUCACUGACAUGUGGUAGAAUAGACAGUCUCUGCUGUCUCUGCAAUUGAUUCGUCAAGUGCACUAUGCGUAUAGGAAAUUGGAACAUCUCUUCUGUUUGGUUUUGUUGCCAUUGAGGAGUCACGUGGAUAAAGCAUACAAUAAUUAUUUUGGGAAUUUUUGGCAAUGAAAUGGUUUCCCUCUUCUCCCACUCCUUCCCCACCCAAAAGUAAUGGAGCUGUCAGGCUUAUUAGAUAGCACAGGCAAGUUUUAAAAAGUAAAGAAUGGGAGUGUUGCUUUUAUAAGAAAGAACUGUAGACCUGGAAAUGAUCCAUAUUUGGAAUAUAAAUGCAAGCUGUUAUGCAGAUCAAAGUAUCUAUUUGGAGCCAAAUUACUCAACAACAUCUAUCUAUGCCUCUUCAACACCUGCAGAUUAGCAAUGUAAUCUUGUGGAGGUUGCUAUAGCUACAUCUCUGGAGCAGGUGGAGUUCUUCGUCUCUGGGAGCGCUGCUAUGCUCAUUCUUUGCAAAUAAACCAUCUAAGAGUAUAUUUAAAAUGUCACCCUGGUGGAGUCAGUCCCUGUCUCUCUGACACUGUCACAUCAGAUCUGUUCUUAUCCGACUGAGCCCAGCUGUUUUCUUAAGAAACAAUGCUGCCUCCAUUUAAGCGCACUGCCUUCUCCUUGAGUACGUGUGCCUGGGCACCAGGCUUUGCCAAUCCAGACCUACUCGGGCCAUAAAGCUCAUCCUUGAGGUUAAGUUGGGGAGGACAGCACAGGUUUAUCUUGCAGUUAUGUAGUCUUGCCUACGCUGGUGGCACACAGAACUGUAACCUGGCACAAAGCAGAACUAUCAACCUUCAGCAACGCUAGUCAGGGCCUACAAGAAGUCCCUGGUUCAGUCAGCUAGUAGAUUUUCAAGAUGGUUGUAUACCUGUGUCUCCCAUCAUGGACUCUGCUUUUACACUGAAUACUUAAUCCUUCUUGCUUGGGCUCUCCUGUCAUUUGCCACAGCAAAGAGUUUCCCACAUGACCCUGCUUUCUGUUUGUCUGCAGUGACUGGCAUAUGCUGUAACCCUUAACCUUCUGUCAAUCAAGCCCACAUCAUGCUAACCUUUGUGAAAACACAAUAGGAAUCCCUGGGUGAAAAGCUGAUAGCCUGAAAGAAGGGCUCUGACAAGUAUUAAAAUAAAUGACAAGAGGCUAAGAAGAAGAAGCACCAAAGAGUAGAAAAUAAACAAAUCAGGAUACUUUGACUUGUCUGAUUUUGUCAUUCUCCUUGUUUGUCUUUUGCUCUAGUUGUAUGUGAAGUGCAGGCUUUUCAUUCCCCAGUGAAGGUAGGGAAAAAGAGAUUUCCUACCAAAACCUGUCAACAACAGCAACAACAGAGAAUGUUUCCCUCCUUGGCAAAUUUUAAUUUCUACAGUAGAAAGCUGAGUAUCAGAAAACGCUCCAAACAUAGCAACGCUUCAGUAGGUUUCAAUAGAAAGCUCCAGACUUCCCCAGAAAGAAAGAAAGAAAGAAAAGAAUAAUAUUUUUACCAAGCAGCAGAGUGACCAACUUCAUGCUCAGCACCACAUUUUCCAUGCAUUGCUUUUCCCUCCAGUUUAUUUUGUCCCUUGUCAUGUCUCUGAUACACUGUCUUUUUAACUUCCAAAUUCCUGAAAUAUGUCCGCUCCACAGAGCCUCCUAACUUUUGUCCUCCCCAAAAGUAGCGCUGUAAAAUUUAUUUCCAAAAGUUCAGGCAUAUAAAAAUAUGCCAUGUUGCCUUGAGACACAUCCAUCUCUGGGUCAAUUGGUGUCUUACACGUCACAACUGUAUUUCUCUUACCCUUAAGGCAACUUCUAUAUUCCAGUUCUCCAGACUGCUGGUAAAAUAAACCAGGGAAAAUGAUGAAGAGGCCACUCGUUAUGAUACAGGCUGCUUAGGGACUGGUCUUUCCACUUAUUUCAGGAACGGCUGUUGAAAAAGGUGAGUAAGACAGGCAGUGUGGAGGAAAUCUUGUCAGUCCUGCCUUCCUUCUGAAUCAGACUUGUUCAUAGCUGGUGAUCAAAACUUUGCCAAAAGCAGGGAUGUGUGCUCUGCCUUUGAAAAGAGCUAUCAGUCUAAAACACAGAAAUGAAGGCAGGCCACAGUCCCAUGUGCUGUGAGAGAACGGGCUCCUAUCUGGGUGCUGAAUUCCCAUCAGCACCAGGCCAUCAUGGAGCAAUAAUUAACCCAUAGUGGCAGUGCAGCUUGGGGAAUGCAUGCCCAACUGAUAGCUAUGAAAAUGGAUGGUUUUUCUGUUUUCCAAGCUUCAAGUCCAAAAUGAGGGAUUUGUGGGUUUUUUGGUUUGUUUUUGCUGGGUUUUUGUGUGUAUGUUUUUCUUCCUUGAGUUGUUUUCUUUUUUUUUUUUUCUUUCCUCUGAGGGCUAUUAAAAUCUGUAAACUGUUAAUUUUGUACUACGCCAAAUUAAGAGUAACAUUUGUUCAUGAUUUAGCUGCCAGGAAUUUGGUUUUGCUUUUUGCGGCCUUCCUAACAAGCAGACGAAAGGCACACAGAGAUCUGCCAUACACUCACGUACGUGAACGAGGUUGUCAAAAGCAGCUAGCAGCUUGGGAGCGCGUAGUCUCCCACCCCAAGACUUCUGCAGUGGGCUUCUUUUGACAAAAACAAGCUUUCCUUAAGUCAUCUCUAAUCAAUCAUAUAAAAUUUUAAACACACACACCAUAACAUUAGUCACUCUUGAAACUGGCAGCCUUACACAUCAAAAAGGAAAAACGUGGUCUUAGUAAUUGCCACCACGCCCAUAUUACCCACAGCACCCACAGAAGUUUUUCUGUAGGGCAGAAACUCUUUCAUGGAAGUCUCCUGUAUGAUUUUGCUAAGGAAAUAUAUAAAAAAGUAGACUAAUCUGAAUUUAAAUCAAUCCUUAGGCUGAUGUGUGAUCUUAUUUCACAACUAAAAGAAAAGCCAUGCAAGGCUAAUUUGACAAAAAUGCUACAAAUUACAGCAUAAAAUUUUGCUUCUCUUUAGGGGAGAAAGAAGCUUACCUCCAUCCCACAGCACAGUGCUGGACUUGACCCCAGCCCAUGCUGUGCCCCAAAUUGGUGGGCCCUGCAAUUCAAACGCCAGAGGGUUGUGGUGGGUCAUCUGUGCUUUGCAGCACAGCUUCCUCUCUAUUGCCAUUGCUAUGGAAAUUGUUUCUUGAGGCAGCCCUAAUUUUCCUUUCAUCAGUCAAUUAGGGGCAGACUUUGCACUGCGUUGUUUGUUUCCCCGGUGCUGCGCUGUUUGAUAUUAUUUUCUUCAUGACAAAUUAACCACAGCUGGACCUGUCUGGAAUUGCUAAGGAUGCUCUUAAGUAAAGUGAAGAAAAAGGGAAAAAAAGACAUUGUAGGCACAAGAAACAGAAACUGAUACUUUGGGGAUGUCCUAUAAGUUCCCUCUGCUGAAGUCACAUCAUCUUUCAGGGCCAGUCAAGCUGACGUUGUGGAGCAAAACCCAUAGCUCUUGAGAGUACCACUGAUGACACUUCUGGUUGUGUUGGGCUGUGUAACCAGCCAAGAUCUCUCCAGGAAGGUCCAGUAAUGAGGGCCUCCUGUAUGCCUUUACCACAGACCCAAUCAAGCCAAGACUCAGUGAUCUAUGUUGGGAAACGUUUUUUCAGGGAAUAAAUAAAGGAAAGCAAACACAAUUUACAUGAUUCUUUUUCAAUGCUGUGUCAAUCUGGUACCUGGAGCUUUGAAAUUCUCACAUUGUGUUCUUUUAGCUCAAACAAACUUAUUUUACAUUUUUCCUCCACUUUCCCCCACCUUCUAUGCUCCAUUGCAGCAACAGUCUCCCAUAACACAUUAGCAGAUUAAAAAUAACCUUCUGCCAUCCUUCAUCUAUUUUACCCAAUUUAAAACCAGACACACUACCCCAGGCUCCACAGAGCAGAAGAAGCAGAGCAUGCAUGUGUGCAUGCAUAUGGGCUCUGGACCCAAAGGAACCAAUUCUGAUAGAAAGAGGCAAGAAUUUAUUUCUACUUCCUAGAUAGAUCCGAUUUUGUCCAUCCCUCUCCUGCUGCCUGUUUUUUUAUGCUUCUAAGACAAUCAGCUGAAGAUCCAGAAAAUUAAUGAUUACAGUUAUUGUGGGACAAGAGCAAGAACAAUGAUUCAUGAACAACGGGACACCAAAAAAAAAACAAAACAAAACAAAUAAAAAAAACCAACCAACAAACCAUUAAUGCAUUCAUCUUUCCUGAAGCUAUCAGAUCCUGAUGAUCAGAGCUGAGUGAGCAGCAGAGAGAGUUACUCAAGGAGAGGCAGAGCCAGGUUCUGAACUGGCCCUGGAUGCAGAUGCUUCUUGGAGACUAACGUGGAAAGGGCUGCCAACUUGUGCCCCCAACUCCACUUUAAGUAUUGUGAGAGGAUCUUCGAUCCACAGGCAUCAAGGAGGAAAGCUGGACGAGAGCAACUGCAGCACCUCAUUGGCACACGACUCCCACCUGCAGAAAGGGCCACACAGCUGGGGCAUUGCAGUCCCAGUUGACAGCCAACGCUGGAUUCCUCUUGCUAUGCAUCUUGAUAUACACAUGACAGCAUUCACAGGAAAUGCAUCAUAUGGCCAGUUUAGAUAAAAACCCCUUUAAUGAGGGUUUGGAGCUGUUUUCUUUGAACAUGUAAUCACUGGCUUCGCAGAUUGUUUGUGCAGGUUAUUAAGCGGUGUUAACCAGGUUCAGUCAAUCUAGCAGCUGGGCUGGGUGGCAUAUUACUGAAAUUGCCAGGUAACCUGAACUGACCCAAAAUCUGUUCCCCUGUUGUGCUCCCUUGAACACAUGGGAAAAUCAAUAGCUCAGAAAACCCUUCAAUGUCUCUGUCCCUGCAUGAACUCCAUUUUUUCCCAGCUGCUACUCAUUUACCUACCAGGGUUACCAGCUGCUCUCCUGAGGAUCGCUGCCAAUGUUGCAUCACCAAGGGUGAAAUGAUCUCAAGACACUACUGAGUACAUACUGAGCUGAGAGGAAAGCCAGUUUGUUGCCCUGGAUCUUCACAAACAUCUGCACCUAUUCAACUGCAUUCACCACUCUGAAAGAGCCACCAUUAUUUAUUUGGCAGACCAAAUAGAGCUGUUUUGCACCUGGCCUAGCAGUGAACUUGAUCAAAAAGCCACCCCAGCCAAACCUUCACUGUCAUAAUAAUCUCCUCCGCUCUGAUAUCUGACUAUUCAGUGCACGUGGAGGAACACAACACCCUGCCAGACAGAUCCCGAUGCACUCUGCCCUCUUUUACUGCUGUACAGCUGCAUUUCUGGUACAAAUCAAGGACCCUACGCUGAUCGAAUGUCUUUCUUAUUUAUGAAGUAAAGUAUUGAAUCAUUUAUUUACUAUGGUUGUUGUUUUUUCCCCUCAUCUGAAUUUGAAAACAGUUCCUGGCAAUGGAGUAUUGAACAAAAACUUUGAGACUGAUGGAUGAGGUUGGUUUUGUGUGGGGAGGUAAAGGACGUUUCAGUGCUGAUAACUGUGUAUUAGACUCCCUACUUAGUAAGUUGGUAAUAUUCUUAAAGAUUUAAGUACUCUCCAGGAUGGAAUUAAAAUUGUACUUUUCAAAUGUAGUGCAUGCAGGACUUAUAAAUUCUCCAGUGAUACGCUAGCUUGUGGAAAAUGCUCAUUAAUAUCUGUUAUUUUCUUACUAUCAAUAAUACUUAAGGCCUGCUACACAAAUAUGUAGGGUAAAAUGCUUAGUGGCAAUUUCCUCAGAGCACUUAGGAUCAUUAGGGUGGCAACAGAACAUAGUCACAGCCGCAGCUUUUCCGAUUUGCUCUGUAAAAAUGAUUUAGCAAAAAGUAUCUGCAUUGACAUGGAAGCAAUCGUCUCCCAUUUCACUGCUUUGCAUUUCUGAACCAAUAAUCCCCGUGCUGCCUGCAAGUUGGGACCAAUUAUUUUAUGUUAUUAUACAUUCUUUCAAAAUUAAGCCCUAAAGCAAAACAAAAACAAACCUCCAAACACAUUUAUACCUCUUGUGUAUGAAAGUCUUAGCAUGGUAUUUCUCAGUUUUCAGCACUACUAAGAACAGGAGCUCCCAGCAACAUCAUUUUGGACAUCCAUGCACAUGAAAAGAAUGUGGUGAAAGAGCCCUGGGGAGGGAGGAGAAUGGAGAAGACCGGCCCAGUGUUCCACCAGUUUCCCGUGCAGGUAAAUUCCUCAUUUUGAGAGGAGUCAAUGGUCUCUGUGUCCACACUGAUCACAAUGUAUGCUCAUGGUUUAAUUAUCCCGGAAAAAUAUGGAGGUUUCCUCCUGUUGGGCAUUUCCAUGCUCUCUUUCUCCAGCACACAGACUGAACUCAGGAAGCCUUUUCCACUAGUUAGGUGACAGCCUGCUGCUAAUGGGGCACUGGUGAUGUGGAUGAUGAAAUGUCCAAACUCUGGCUGUCCACCAUCUCAUGCUGCAUCCUCUCUGAAAUAAUGCUCCAGCUCUGACUUUCACUUAUUUAUAUAACCACGGGCUGACUUUUUGUCUAUUUUCUCUAAGCUGCUGUGGGUUUUGUUUCCAGUAGGCGUAUUACUUGAUUAAUGAUCUUUCUGUUAACACUUGCUCAUAUGCCAUAUGGGAUCUUCUUGGGUUAUCUAAAUGCACAAAAUACUAAAAACAACUUUUUUGUUUCUUUUCUUUCUUUCUUUCUUUUUUUUUCUCAGCUCAACUCUGUUUUUAAUAGCACAGUACCUUCUCCCCUCUGUCCUCCCCCCCUACCCCUAAAAAAAAAAGAACAUUUUCCUAGCUUCUCCAGACUUCACACUGUUGAAUGUUACUUGUGAUUCAUGCUGUUACCUUGUGCAAUACUCCAGGAAAACAGACCAUAGACAGGCUCUGUCAGGAAGGGUUUUGUAAUGGAUGUGUCAUUUCUCUUGUAUCUAUAUUAAGGACAAAAUCCUGUGAUGGCUGAUGAAUUUGUAGACCCCAUCUUUCUGAAAUCACAUUAGCUGCUCAGAAGAGGAAGGCUGCUUUUCUUUCAGGCAAUGAUGAUAGCACUUUCCUGGAUGCGGGUCGAAAAAUAUUUACAUCAAUAUAAAUAAGCAGUGUGUAACUAUAAAUAAAGAACACAGGUAAUAAAAUGUUAUCAUUGAAGUUGAGAUUAAAAUUGAAUCCUGCCAAGCCCUAAACAUAGAUCAUGAUAGACAAAUCCAAUAUACCUUUUUUUUUUUUUUUUUUUUUUGGUGGUGCUGUAAUUAUAGACUAGGUAAAGAAAAAAAGAUUAUACAGCAGACAUAAUUUGUAAUGAUUUCAGUAACAUUUCUGAGGUAACGCCAUGAGAAGCAAUGACUACUUGUGCAUGCUUCUCCACAAGUGUAUGUAUCCCCCCACCAAGAGAUGCACUUGGAUUUCAACCAGAGCAAUGCUGUGAGCUGGAUACCUCUGCCAUCUGAUACUGAUACAAUGCUGUUGGCUGGGUCACCUCUGCCAGGACUGUCCAUUCCCUGACCUUGCAGCUCGGUGCCCUGGCCAACAGGAGCCCCUGCUGUAAGAUCCAAAGACAAACGGAGAAGCAGUUCCCAAACCUGGAAAGAAAUCCUAUAUGACCAACAGUCAGGUGACAGCCCGCAGGACGUGUCAACAUGGUGUUGUAGCAUGGGGUUGUCCUUUGAUGGAAUGCUACCCACUGCCUAUACACCCGUCUCUAUCAUGGCGCCCAGGGAGCAGCUACCAGAUGUUCUGGGGGUUUGUUGUUGGCAAACAUCCUGCUCUCCUUAUGACCAGGGGGGAUGGGUUCCUGGGUGGGUUCCCCUCCUUUCUAGCAGGGUGUUUAUCCGUGCUGUAACUAACUGCCGGAUGGAUAUCAGCUCUUCCCAAAGUCUUCUCAAAUCUGAACAGCCGCAGCUCUCUCAGCCUGUCCUCAUAGAGGUGUUCCAUCUCUUGGAUCCUUUCUCUGGUCCUCCUCUGGACAUGUUCCAACAGGUCCACAUCUCUCAUAGGAAGCUGCCACUUCAUGGCAAGGAGCUGGUCUGAGCACUGUGUCCUCCACUGGCUGAACUAGGAAAAGGUUUGCAUCCACGGGCAGCAUGGUUUGGCAUGGAAAAGCACAGAUGGGCUCAGAAACUGUCUCCAAGCUGCUCUUGACAAGGUAGGAGGCAUUCCCUUUAAGUUAACCAGGAAUGGAGGCUCACACUGCCUCUCUGGAAAUCAAGGCUUGAGGCCAAAAGCAAUCUCUGAUAUCUCAACAGAUGAAAAUAGAGCUUAAAAAAAUAAGAACGUGUCAUGGAAUUAAAUGAGAACCACAGAUUUAGCAGGUCUGGUGACUUCCCAAGAGAAGCUGAGGAGAAACGUAGAGAAAAGGCUUGUUUUUGAGACACAGUGAAAUGAAUUACUAGUCCCUUCUGUAAAAUCUGUUAAAGUCUUGACUGCUGGACGUUUACUUUCAAUGAAGUCAGCUUCCACUGCAGUCUGCUGAAGAGCCCUAACUUGACUGUGCAGAUGCAAUUACUGAAAAUGAAUCUGUCAGAGACAUAUCACGUAAACAAGGAGUCCUGUUUUGGCUCUCCUCCUGAAGCCAUCUUUGCCUCAGGGAUAACCUCAGCCAAUGCUUCACAAACCCAGUGGGAACAAGCAGCGCAGGCACAAAGCAGACUGACUAAGAAGGUUAGUGAAACUUCAAAGUGUUAGCCAUGAGCUGGUAAUUGGUACCUGGGAGCCAGCCAUCCACAGGGAACAUCAAACAGCGUUAUUUUUGGCUCUCCACAAAAAAAUGUCAGGAUUAUUUUAUUUGGGUGCCAUUUCGGAACACCAGCAGCCCCUGACGGGCAGCACACGCCCGGUGCUUCUGCACCUUGAUGCACUUGUAGGUGUUUGUUUUGACAGGGGGUUGACAGCGUUUCAGUGCACAGUACAUCACAGGUGAUUUGUAAGGUGAGUGUGGUCUGACAGUGGGCUCCUCUGAGCCCAGCACAGUGCACUGGUUUUCAGAGCAACAAGAUCUGUCUGCCAUUAACUAGACCUCUCUGCAAUUAUGCCGUUCUUCUCAUAAUAGAGAACUUAUUCCCCAAAAUUCAUCCUUUCUCUUUGAUCUGCGUGUGUUUCUGUAGGCAAUUACACAUUAAUAUAUCAAAGGCUAUUGACAAUGCCAAGAAAUGGGUAUGCUAAUAUUCUUGUUUAAUCAUACAUGGGUUUGGGUGUCGUUUGUUGUUUUGUUUUGUUUUAGUAAAAUUGACAGCAGGACCUUGCAGUUAGAAGCCAGGCACAGGAACACGAGGUCAAGAGAAGUCAGCUGCACGAUUCCCUUUGAUUUCUAUGAGAUGAGAGUUACAGCUGGAAUUCGGGAUUCGGUUUCCACCUCUUCUCCAUACCUUCACUGUGCUUUCAGCAAGUGCAGCCAGGUACCCAGCUGCCUAAAUUCCAUAGCCUGAAAAUUUUGCUCAAGGGACUGCUGUUCACCAGGUCUGCAGCAUAUGCUUCCUUCAGCCCUUGUUCUGCACAGCAAAAGCAAACGGGAUCCCACUGAACGCCUUCCUGCCACCUCUAACUGAAACGCUCUGCAUACUUUUGCUCCCCAAAUUUUGUAUGGCUCAAAUAAAAUUGCUUACUUGAAAGUUAAGGUUUGUCAACGAUUUCUGACUUUUUUUUUAAAGAAGGUAGUGGUGUUUGUUUCUUUUCCUUCUCCAUGAUCAUUCAAGUGUUGGUAAGGGGCAAACUUUGAGCACAAGUUUUAUAUUUCUCAGGAAAUGAAUGUAUUUCCCUUGCUUUUCUAAAAUAUCAUACUUUCAACUUUGAGUUAUUUAUCCAAAUAUUUCUAUUCCCCGCUGUAUUCUGAACGUUUGAUCUAUGUGAGGCAGUGCUCUGUUUAACCUUGCUUGUACUGAAAGCAAUAAAAUAUAAAAUGAAUAGGUGGAAAGGGAUAGUAAAUCCCCACUGAGAAAUUAUCUGGCAGUUUCUGAGUCAUGGGAAGAUAUCAACAAAGUGAAAUUUAUUUAAUAUUGAUGAAUGGGACAGUAAUGCACCUAGGGAGAAAUAACAGCAAUCAACACAGAUAUUUAGGAGACAUUAAUAUAGAAAAAGACCUUGGGGUUGAAGCGGAUAAUUAAGUGCAUAAGAGCUCACAUUGCAAAACAAGCAAUCGGUGUUCCAGAGCGUGCAGCGUCAAAAGAGAUGUGCCGUGCAGCAAAGUGAGGGAUAAGUGCGGCACAACUUAGCCUGAGUAAGACUGGAGCUGGGGUGGGGUAUGAAUUUUUCAGCCUCCUCUUUUUAAGAAGACACGGGAAAGUGGCAGAGAAGUAAAAGACGGGUAGUAGAAAUGACAAAGAGAGCUGCGGGCAUUGCGUGUGAAGGCGCGGCGGAAAGUAAUUCAUUCAGCAGGAGGGAGCAGCGCCAGCCCUCCUGUCUGUGUGCCGCACGAAUGGACUUUCCCUGCAGCAGCAAUGGUAAAAGGGUCUCAAAUUAAAAAUGGAACAACUCCAUUUAGAUACAAGAGAAAUGACUUAAUACUAAGGGCUGUUACAUGGGCAAUGGAGUAAGCUGUCUGGUGAGCAGCUGAACACAAGGCACCGUCAAUAGAAGGUUUCUGGGGUGAGACUGGAAAAAGUGCCAGUGGGAUUACUGCAGAAGAGGCUUCUCAGCAUGAGCAUGGCUAACACAAAGGUCCUUUGCUGUCAUUUUCAUCGACACUUCUGGGAUCUCAAAGGCUGUGCACAAUAAAAGAGACAAUAUGUCCAGAUUUUAAUGAAAUCCAUCUGCCACGCUCAGUGAGACUACAUGGUGACUGGGACGAGAGGUGCAGCCCUGCAAGCCUCACCUCUGUAUCCCAUCUGCUCUACAGGCUUUCACAGGAGUGGGCCCGGGAGCUGAAGAUGCUGCAGAGGUGGGUUAUAGCCAUGUGCAUUUUCAGAGAAGCUGGCACAGCUCCUGCCUAUUUUGAAAUGUUUGCUUCUGGAAUUUGUGAUGCUUGAACCAGUUAAAUACUAGAUUAUCGUAAGUGUAAUUUACAUGUUUCCCAAGUAAGGGAAUGCGAGUGGAGAAGAGAAUUUCUGAAUGUUCGUAUUUCCAAAUUAAACCAGUGUAAAUGAGCCUUCUGUUCGAUUCAGUGUGUAACACAUUAUUUCAUGGCUGUCUCCUCAAUAUUACAGGCCCCUUUUACAUCAAGCAGUGUCAUACCCCAUCCAAAUCACUGUGAGAUAAAGAUGUUCCCCUUUAAUGUAAUAAAGGACUACAACAAUACUCCAA
Long non-coding RNA from Gallus gallus (chicken), 24835 nucleotides. RefSeq lists it as uncharacterized. The transcript has 5 exons. The record is from RefSeq and is a predicted model, not a curated record. NCBI's taxonomy places the organism in Eukaryota, Metazoa, Chordata, Aves, Galliformes, Phasianidae.